Molecule: ribosomal RNA, 474 nt
Filed under: uncultured bacterium
Lineage: Bacteria
Description: SSU rRNA
Rfam family: Bacterial small subunit ribosomal RNA
Source: RNAcentral
AGGACGAACGCUGGCGGCGUGCUUAACACAUGCAAGUCGAGCGGAAAGGCCCUUCGGGGUACUCGAGCGGCGAACGGGUGAGUAACACGUGAGUAACCUGCCCCUAGCUCUGGGAUAGCUCCGGGAAACCGGGAUUAAUACCAGAUACGACCACUUUAGACAUCUGUCGUGGUGGAAAGGAUUCCGGCUAGGGAUGGGCUCGCGGCCUAUCAGCUUGUUGGUGGGGUAACGGCCUACCAAGGCGACGACGGGUAGCCGGCCUGAGAGGGCGACCGGCCACACUGGGACUGAGACACGGCCCAGACUCCUACGGGAGGCAGCAGUGGGGAAUAUUGCGCAAUGGGCGAAAGCCUGACGCAGCGACGCCGCGUGGGGGAUGAAGGCCUUCGGGUUGUAAACCCCUUUCAGCGAGGGACGAAGCGAAGUGACGGUACCUGCAGAAGAAGCGCCGGCUAACUACGUGCCAGCAGCCGC